AAGUCGUAACAAGGUUUCCGUAGGUGAACCUGCGGAAGGAUCAUUACCAAAUCCAAAUUACCCAACCCCGUGUGAACUAUUGUACUAGUCUGUCUUUGGGAGAAAAGUUAAAAAAAAGAGCAUCGUCUCUGGUGUCCUUUUUUUGAACUUUUCUCCCAAAAGAAUCCGGCAUAUUUUACUUCUCUUUGGGAGUUUUUUAUGUCGACAUGUGAUUCUUAAAACCUUUAAAACCACUUGAUUCAUUGUUGGAAUUUUUUUUUAUUAAUUUUCAAUAAAAGACAACUUUUAACGGCGGAUCUCUUGGCUCGUG
This 310-nucleotide unclassified non-coding RNA is filed under the name fungal sp. Its description in RNAcentral is "partial internal transcribed spacer region". The stretch from base 1 to 46 matches the Rfam family "Eukaryotic small subunit ribosomal RNA", at positions 1786 to 1831 of the family's 1831-position model. Lineage: Eukaryota; Fungi. The record is from RNAcentral.